Molecule: ribosomal RNA, 253 nt
Filed under: uncultured bacterium
Lineage: Bacteria
Description: partial 16S ribosomal RNA
Rfam family: Bacterial small subunit ribosomal RNA
Source: RNAcentral
UACGUAGGGUGCGAGCGUUAAUCGGAAUUACUGGGCGUAAAGCGUGCGCAGGCGGUGGCUCAAGCCAGGCGUGAAAUCCCCGGGCUUAACCUGGGAACUGCAUUUGUGACUGCAUGGCUAGAGUGCGGCAGAGGGGGAUGGAAUUCCGCGUGUAGCAGUGAAAUGCGUAGAUAUGCGGAGGAACACCGAUGGCGAAGGCAAUCCCCUGGGCCUGCACUGACGCUCAUGCACGAAAGCGUGGGGAGCAAACAGG